RNAcentral lists this transfer RNA (73 nucleotides) under Diaphorina citri (Asian citrus psyllid). It matches the Rfam family "tRNA". From Rfam's summary of the family: Transfer RNA (tRNA) molecules are approximately 80 nucleotides in length. Their secondary structure includes four short double-helical elements and three loops (D, anti-codon, and T loops). The record is from Rfam by way of RNAcentral. Lineage: Eukaryota; Metazoa; Arthropoda; Insecta; Hemiptera; Psyllidae.
GCCUAGUUAGCUUGAGUGGUAGAGCGUCUGCCUUGUAAGCGCUAGACCGCGGGUUCGAUUCUCGCCCGGGGCG